Molecule: small nuclear RNA, 119 nt
Filed under: Myotis brandtii (Brandt's bat)
Lineage: Eukaryota; Metazoa; Chordata; Mammalia; Chiroptera; Vespertilionidae
Description: U2 spliceosomal RNA
Rfam family: U2 spliceosomal RNA
About the family: U2 is a small nuclear RNA (snRNA) component of the spliceosome (involved in pre-mRNA splicing). Complementary binding between U2 snRNA (in an area lying towards the 5' end but 3' to hairpin I) and the branchpoint sequence (BPS) of the intron results the bulging out of an unpaired adenosine, on the BPS, which initiates a nucleophilic attack at the intronic 5' splice site, thus starting the first of two transesterification reactions that mediate splicing.
Source: Rfam by way of RNAcentral
AUCGCUUCUCAGCCUUUUGGCUAAGAUCAAGUGUAGUAUCUGUUCUUAUCAGUUUAAAAAGUUCUCUACAAUAAAACUUUAUAAAACCCUUAGUGUACUAUUAUUUACAAGGAAUUAUA